GACGAACGCUGGCGGCGUGCUUAACACAUGCAAGUCGAGCGGUAAGGCCUUUCUUGGUACACGAGCGGCGAACGGGUGAGUAACACGUGGGUGAUCUGCCCUGCACUUCGGGAUAAGCCUGGGAAACUGGGGGUAAUACCGGAUAUUACCUCCUGUCGCAUGGUGUGUGGUGGAAAGAUUUAUCGGUGCAGGAUGGGCCCGCGGCCUAUCAGCUUGUUGGUGGGGUAAUGGCCUACCAAGGCGACGAAGGGUAGCCGACCUGAGAGGGUGACCGGCCACACUGGGACUGAGACACGGCCCAGACUCCUACGGGGGGCAGCAGUGGGGAAUAUUGCACAAUGGGCGAAAGCCUGAUGAAGAGACGCCGCGUGAGGGAUGACGGCUUUCGGGUUGUAAACCUCUUUCAGCAGGGACGAAGCGGAAGUGACGGUACCUGCAGAAGAAGCACCGGCUAACUACGUG
RNAcentral lists this ribosomal RNA (462 nucleotides) under uncultured bacterium. RNAcentral describes it as "partial 16S ribosomal RNA". It matches the Rfam family "Bacterial small subunit ribosomal RNA", at positions 28 to 507 of the family's 1533-position model. The record is from RNAcentral.